GCUCACUUCUCUCUCUGUCAGU
RNAcentral lists this microRNA (22 nucleotides) under Zea mays. Its description in RNAcentral is "zma-miR156a-3p". Its record names the gene zma-miR156a-3p. Lineage: Eukaryota; Viridiplantae; Streptophyta; Magnoliopsida; Poales; Poaceae. The record is from miRBase by way of RNAcentral.